This 90-nucleotide non-coding RNA is filed under the name Rhodococcus pyridinivorans. Its description in RNAcentral is "Glycine sequence". It matches the Rfam family "Glycine riboswitch aptamer". From Rfam's summary of the family: This family represents the bacterial glycine riboswitch. Glycine riboswitches usually consist of two metabolite-binding aptamers domains with similar structures in tandem. Lineage: Bacteria; Bacillati; Actinomycetota; Actinomycetes; Mycobacteriales; Nocardiaceae. The record is from RNAcentral.
CGAACCGCGGCGGGAGAGUCCCGCACACAGCGGGCGCCGAAGGAGCAACCUCCCCGGGAAUCUCUCAGGCCCCCAGACCGCCGCGGCGAG